CCUAACACAUGCAAGUCGAACGGUAACAUUUCUAGCUUGCUAGAAGAUGACGAGUGGCGGACGGGUGAGUAAUGCUUGGGAACUUGCCUUUGCGAGGGGGAUAACAGUUGGAAACGACUGCUAAUACCGCAUAAUGUCUACGGACCAAACGGGGCUUAGGCUCCGGCGCAAAGAGAGGCCCAAGUGAGAUUAGCUAGUUGGUAAGGUAACGGCUUACCAAGGCGACGAUCUCUAGCUGUUCUGAGAGGAAGAUCAGCCACACUGGGACUGAGACACGGCCCAGACUCCUACGGGAGGCAGCAGUGGGGAAUAUUGCACAAUGGGGGAAACCCUGAUGCAGCCAUGCCGCGCGUGUGAAGAAGGCCUUCGGGUUGUAAAGCACUUUCAGUUGUGAGGAAAAGUUAGUAGUUAAUACCUGCUAGCCGUGACGUUAACAACAGAAGAAGCACCGGCUAACUCCGUGCCAGCAGCCGCGGUAAUACGGAGGGUGCGAGCGUUAAUCGGAAUUACUGGGCGUAAAGCGCACGCAGGCGGUUUGUUAAGCUAGAUGUGAAAGCCCCGGGCUCAACCUGGGAUGGUCAUUUAGAACUGGCAGACUAGAGUCUUGGAGAGGGGAGUGGAAUUCCAGGUGUA
Molecule: ribosomal RNA, 633 nt
Filed under: uncultured marine bacterium
Lineage: Bacteria
Description: bacterial SSU rRNA
Rfam family: Bacterial small subunit ribosomal RNA
Source: RNAcentral